ACGGAAGGCAGCAGUGGGGGAUAUUGCACAAUGGGGGAAACCCUGAUGCAGCGACGCCGCGUGAGUGAUGAAGUAUUUCGGUAUGUAAAGCUCUAUCAGCAGGAAAGAUAAUGACGGUACCUGACUAAGAAGCACCGGCUAAAUACGUGCCAGCAGCCGCGGUAAUACGUAUGGUGCAAGCGUUAUCCGGAUUUACUGGGUGUAAAGGGAGCGCAGACGGCAUGGCAAGCCAGAUGUGAAAGGCAGGGGCUCAACUCCUGGACUGCAUUUGGAACUGUCAAGCUAGAGUAUCGGAGAGGUAAGUGGAAUUCCUAGUGUAGCGGUGAAAUGCGUGGAUAUUAGGAGGAACACCAGUGGCGAAGGCGGCUUACUGGACGAUAACUGACGCUGAGGCUCGAAAGCGUGGGGAGCAAACAGGAUUAGAUACCCUGGUA
RNAcentral lists this ribosomal RNA (434 nucleotides) under uncultured Lachnospiraceae bacterium. RNAcentral describes it as "partial 16S ribosomal RNA". It matches the Rfam family "Bacterial small subunit ribosomal RNA", at positions 341 to 792 of the family's 1533-position model. Lineage: Bacteria; Bacillati; Bacillota; Clostridia; Lachnospirales; Lachnospiraceae. The record is from RNAcentral.